This 1172-nucleotide long non-coding RNA is filed under the name Ursus thibetanus thibetanus. RNAcentral's name for it is "lncRNA (ENSUTTG00000020826.1)". Lineage: Eukaryota; Metazoa; Chordata; Mammalia; Carnivora; Ursidae. The record is from RNAcentral.
AUUAGACCCAGCCGUGCUCCAGGCCCUCGGAGCCCCGCUCCGGCUGCAGCGGCGGGGAUGGGGAAGGGGACUCCGGGGGCCAGGUGAGUCUGGGGCACCGCCCGGGGCAGGUGCGCGGGGCAGGCCUGGGGCACCGAGUAGCCUCUCCGCAGCCGCCGGGCCUCGGAGAUCGGCGCAACCCAGCGGCGCCGCUGCGCGCUCUGCCCGCCGCCCCGGGCGCAGCCUCCUCCGGGCUGUACUGUCCCGCGGUGCCCAGAGCCCAACUUCCCGCUCGCUUCUGCUCGCUCUUCCUUUCUCCCUCCUGUCUCCUGCGUCUCGGCUUUCUUAGGAGGUGGAGAGUAGUCAGCGAGGAGGCAGCGGUGCCGCUUAGUCCUUGACCGAGUGUUCGUAUCCGCUGCCGCGAGGCCCCUCCGGACUGGAGAGCGGCAUGGGCGGCGGCGGCCGCGGAGCCAUGGAGCGGGAGCGGAGCCGAGGGGAGCUGGGGCGGAGGCGGCUGGGGUCGGGCCCGGGCGCGCUCUCCUGCCCUCCCUGGCGGUUCCCUUUGCCUGGAGACGCGGCGCCCGGAGCCCGCGAUCUGUCGCGAGCCGCAGCAGCUCCGCGGUCCACGUGCGACCGAGCCGCGUUUGUUUAUGGCGGACCCGCCUUCGGGCGGAGCACUCGGCGGCCUCGGCCCGGGGAGGAGGGGCGGGAGGGGGGAGGGACCGCGGCGGGGGCGGGGGCGGCGAAUCUCGCCUCCCGACCCCGCCGCGGCCCCGGAGUUACAGGCGCGCCUCCGCGUCGCGGCCUCCAGGGACUCUCCCAGGAGAGGCCCGCGCGCUCCCGGCCUCACGGAAGUCUCGGCCGGUGCGGUAGGCGGGUUUCCUGAGAGGUGUGUGUCCAGGAACACACUCUUCUCUCCGGGGAGAAGGAGGCGACUCCCACGGCAGAGAGCAGUCCCGCGUCGGAGGAUCCGGGCGCGCCAAAGCCGGACUUCAGAUCUGAGCGGCAGCGGGGCCACGGCGGCGUGCAGAGCGCACCCCAUCUGGCCAGGCAGGGAGGCGGUGGCGGGAGCCCUCUCCAGCCCUCCCUACCCUGGGCCGAAACCCGGCUUUGGGAGCUGCAGGGCACAUUCGCGGACGCCGACGGUGGGACGGGUUCAAGAUUCAGACUUUCCGACGCUAAAGGUCUUCUGA